UGGGGAAUCUUGGACAAUGGGCGCAAGCCUGAUCCAGCCAUGCCGCGUGAGCGAUGAAGGCCUUAGGGUUGUAAAGCUCUUUCACCGGUGAAGAUAAUGACGGUAGCCGGAGAAGAAGCCCCGGCUAACUCCGUGCCAGCAGCCGCGGUAAUACGGAGGGGGCUAGCGUUGUUCGGAAUUACUGGGCGUAAAGCGCGCGUAGGCGGACUGAUCAGUCAGGGGUGAAAUCCCGGGGCUCAACCCCGGAACUGCCUUUGAUACUGUCAGUCUUGAGUCCGGAAGAGGCGAGUGGAAUACCGAGUGUAGAGGUGAAAUUCGUAGAUAUUCGGUGGAACACCAGUGGCGAAGGCGACUCGCUGGUCCGGUACUGACGCUGAGGUGCGAAAGUGUGGGGAGCAAACAGGAUUAGAUACCCUGGUAGUCCACACCGUAAACGAUGAAUGCCAGUCGUCGGUAGCAUGCUAUUCGGUGACACACCUAACGGAUUAAGCAUUCCGCCUGGGAGUACGGUCGCAAGAUUAAAAGCUCAAA
This 531-nucleotide ribosomal RNA is filed under the name uncultured bacterium. RNAcentral's name for it is "bacterial SSU rRNA". It matches the Rfam family "Bacterial small subunit ribosomal RNA", at positions 355 to 905 of the family's 1533-position model. The record is from RNAcentral.